This 492-nucleotide ribosomal RNA is filed under the name uncultured bacterium. RNAcentral describes it as "bacterial SSU rRNA". It matches the Rfam family "Bacterial small subunit ribosomal RNA", at positions 32 to 533 of the family's 1533-position model. The record is from RNAcentral.
AAUCAACGCUGGCGGCGUGCCUCAGACAUGCAAGUCGAACGAUUAAAGCUCUCUUCGGAGAGUGCAUAGAGUGGCGCACGGGUGAGUAACACGUAAGUAAUCUACCCUCGAGUGGGGAAUAACAACCGGAAACGGUUGCUAAUACCGCAUAAUGCAGCGGCACCGCAAGGUGACAGUUGUUAAAGAUUUAUCGCUUGAGGAGGAGCUUGCGGCAGAUUAGCUAGUUGGUAGGGUAACGGCUUACCAAGGCUACGAUCUGUAACCGGUCUAAGAGGACGGUCGGUCACACUGACACUGAAUAACGGGUCAGACUCCUACGGGAGGCAGCAGUCGGGAAUUUUGGGCAAUGGGCGAAAGCCUGACCCAGCAACGCCGCGUGAAGGAUGAAGUAUUUCGGUAUGUAAACUUCGAAAGAAUAGGAAGAAUUAAUGACGGUACUAUUUAUAAGGUCCGGCUAACUACGUGCCAGCAGCCGCGGUAAGUCUCGCGUGA